RNAcentral lists this ribosomal RNA (482 nucleotides) under uncultured bacterium. Its description in RNAcentral is "bacterial SSU rRNA". It matches the Rfam family "Bacterial small subunit ribosomal RNA", at positions 28 to 524 of the family's 1533-position model. The record is from RNAcentral.
GAUGAACGCUGGCGGCGUGCUUAAGACAUGCAAGUCGAACGCAGAGAUGCAGCAAUGUGUUUCUGAGUGGCGAAUGGGUGCGUAACACGUAGGUGAUCUGCCCAGAAGUGUGGAAUAACAGUCCGAAAGGACUGCUAAUACCGCAUGUGGCGCUUGGGGUUAGAGGCCCGAGCGCGAAAGGUCUUCGGAUCGCUUCUGGAGGAGCCUGCGGCCCAUCAGGUAGUUGGUAGGGUAAUGGCCUACCAAGCCAACGACGGGUAGGGGACCUCAGAGGGUGGCCCCCCACACUGGCACUGACACACGGGCCAGACUCCUACGGGAGGCAGCAGUCGGGAAUAUUGCCCAAUGCGCGAAAGCGUGAGGCAGCAACGCCGCGUGCGCGAUGAAGGCCUUCGGGUCGUAAAGCGCUUUUCAGUGGGAUGAGGAAGGACAGUACCACUGGAAUAAGGUACGGCUAACUACGUGCCAGCAGCCGCGGUAAU